Molecule: ribosomal RNA, 292 nt
Filed under: uncultured bacterium
Lineage: Bacteria
Description: partial 16S ribosomal RNA
Rfam family: Bacterial small subunit ribosomal RNA
Source: RNAcentral
GUGCCAGCAGCCGCGGUAAUACGUAGGUGGCAAGCGUUGUCCGGAUUUACUGGGCGUAAAGGAUGUGUAGGCGGAUAUUUAAGUGAGAUGUGAAAUCCCCGGGCUUAACUUGGGGGCUGCAUUUCAAACUGGAUGUCUAGAGUGCAGGAGAGGAAAGCAGAAUUCCUAGUGUAGCGGUGAAAUGCGUAGAGAUUAGGAAGAAUACCAGUGGCGAAGGCGGCUUUCUGGACUGUAACUGACGCUGAGGCAUGAAAGCGUGGGGAGCAAACAGGAUUAGAUACCCCCGUAGUCC